RNAcentral lists this ribosomal RNA (253 nucleotides) under uncultured bacterium. RNAcentral describes it as "partial 16S ribosomal RNA". It matches the Rfam family "Bacterial small subunit ribosomal RNA", at positions 524 to 776 of the family's 1533-position model. The record is from RNAcentral.
UACGUAGGGGGCAAGCGUUGUCCGGAAUCAUUGGGCGUAAAGCGCGUGUAGGCGGCUCGAUAAGUCUGCUGUGAAAGUCCAGGGCUCAACCCUGGGAUGCCGGUGGAUACUGUCGAGCUCGAGUCCGGAAGAGGCGAGUGGAAUUCCUGGUGUAGCGGUGAAAUUCGUAGAUAUCGGGAGGAACACCAGUGGCGAAGGCGGCGACCUGGGCCAAUAUUGACGCUGAGGUGCGAAAGCGUGGGGAGCAAACAGG